RNAcentral lists this unclassified non-coding RNA (353 nucleotides) under soil metagenome. RNAcentral's name for it is "partial contains 5.8S ribosomal RNA, internal transcribed spacer 2, and large subunit ribosomal RNA". The stretch from base 1 to 120 matches the Rfam family "5.8S ribosomal RNA", at positions 35 to 154 of the family's 154-position model. The record is from RNAcentral.
GAUGAAGAACGCAGCGAAAUGCGAUAAGUAAUGUGAAUUGCAGAAUUCAGUGAAUCAUCGAAUAUUUGAACGCUCAUUGCGUCCGCCAGUAUUCUGGCGGGCAUGCCUGUUCGAGCGUCAUUACAACCCUCAGGCCCCCGGGCCUGGCGUUGGGGAUCGGCGGAAGCCCCCUGCGGGCACAACGCCGUCCCCCAAAUACAGUGGCGGUCCCGCCGCAGCUUCCAUUGCGUAGUAGCUAACACCUCGCGACUGGAGAGCGGCGCGGCCACGCCGUAAAACACCCAACUUCUGAAUGUUGACCUCGAAUCAGGUAGGAAUACCCGCUGAACUUAAGCAUAUCAAUAAGCGGAGGA